GUGCCUAAUACAUGCAAGUCGAGCGGAUCUUGUUCAGAAGCUUGCUUCUGAACUUGGUUAGCGGCGGACGGGUGAGUAACACGUAGGCAACCUGCCCUCAAGACCGGGAUAACAUUCGGAAACGAAUGCUAAGACCGGAUACGCAAGUCUGUCGCAUGACGGACUUGGGAAACACGGUGCAAGCUGUGGCUUGAGGAUGGACCUGCGGCGCAUUAGCUAGUUGGUGGGGUAACGGCUCACCAAGGCGACGAUGCGUAGCCGACCUGAGAGGGUGAACGGCCACACUGGGACUGAGACACGGCCCAGACUCCUACGGGAGGCAGCAGUAGGGAAUCUUCCACAAUGGGCGAAAGCCUGAUGGAGCAACGCCGCGUGAGUGAGGAAGGCUUUCGGGUCGUAAAGCUCUGUUGCCAGGGAAGAAUAAGGGUGAGUUAACUGCUCAUUCGAUGACGGUACCUGAGAAGAAAGCCCCGGCUAACUACGUGCCAGCAGCCGCGGUAAUACGUAGGGGCAAGCGUUGUCCGGAAUUAUUGGGCGUAAAGCGCGCGCACGGUCUUUUAAGUCUGGUGUAUAAGUGCGGGGCUCAACC
Molecule: ribosomal RNA, 589 nt
Filed under: uncultured bacterium
Lineage: Bacteria
Description: bacterial SSU rRNA
Rfam family: Bacterial small subunit ribosomal RNA
Source: RNAcentral